AUUGAACGCUGGCGGCAUGCCUAACACAUGCAAGUCGAACGGCAGCACGGGAGCUUGCUCCUGGUGGCGAGUGGCGGACGGGUGAGUAAUGCAUAGGAAUCUGCCCAGUAGCGGGGGACAACUUGGGGAAACUCAAGCUAAUACCGCAUACGCCCUACGGGGGAAAGCGGGGGACCUUCGGGCCUCGCACUAUUGGAUGAGCCUAUGUCAGAUUAGCUUGUUGGUGGGGUAAAGGCCUACCAAGGCGACGAUCUGUAGCUGGUCUGAGAGGACGAUCAGCCACACUGGGACUGAGACACGGCCCAGACUCCUACGGGAGGCAGCAGUGGGGAAUAUUGCACAAUGGGCGAAAGCCUGAUGCAGCAAUGCCGCGUGUGUGAAGAAGGCCUGCGGGUUGUAAAGCACUUUCAGUAGGGAGGAAACAGUAGCCGGUUAACUAUCCGGUUGCCUUGACGUUACCUACAGAAGAAGCACCGGCUAACUCUGUG
Molecule: ribosomal RNA, 488 nt
Filed under: uncultured bacterium
Lineage: Bacteria
Description: bacterial SSU rRNA
Rfam family: Bacterial small subunit ribosomal RNA
Source: RNAcentral